Molecule: long non-coding RNA, 2482 nt
Organism: Gavialis gangeticus (Gharial)
Lineage: Eukaryota; Metazoa; Chordata; Crocodylia; Gavialidae
Exons: 3
Source: RefSeq, a predicted model, not a curated record
UGUAAUUCAAAACGAGGACUGCCUGUAUGUAGAAAAAAAAAAGCCUUGUGGAGGUGGCAGAGGUAGAGGCAAAAAGCCACUUGCAAAAUAUCCUAUUUUAAAGCAAAUAAUUUUUUGCAGUAGGAACUUACAAAUUGCCAUUUUAGAACAGGCCGCUGAUGGAUGUAGCCAUGCACCUCGUUAUUGUGGAACCAAGUGCUUCAGGAAAAGAUAGAAAUGUCUUAUAAUACUAUAAACAGUUCUGUAAUCUUAGUGAGAAAUUUCUUCUUCACCCUCCAUAAUUGGUGAGUGUAUGUCCUGAGCUUCAUGUCAAUUAAUGUAAGAGUUUCAUGACAAUUAUUGUAUCUAGAGUAGUUAAAUAACUGUUACUUCUGGUUUUAUUCGUGUAUUAUGAACAUCCAUCUGAACCUUGCUGAGAUCUUACAGAACUAUUUAUCAGAAUAAAUCAGAGACAAUGGGGUUCACAAACUGAUAGAGCUAUGCAAAGGCAAAUUUCCUCUUCUUUGCUUUCUACUUGUUGCCUUAUAAUUUCAUAACUUCCCUUUCUUCAUGGCUCUUGAAUCUCUUGUGCCCCACACAGAACCUAAUUUUCACUGUUCUCUGAGUUCUUUCUGAUUCUUUUGCAUGGUAGGUUACAGUGAGCAGGGAGUUUAUUCCUUGCUCAGAUCUUGCCCCCGAGUCAUAAAUUAACAAAGCAGGGAACAAAAACCCAGUCAGCCUAUGAGCACAGAAUGCAGCACAAUUGAAGUCACAAGGUAACUAGCAUUUCUGAAAAUUGGGUUCUUUCAAAAACCCAGCUUGGGAGAAAUUUCCUUUUUAGAUUGUGCCAUAUUGGAGAAAAUAGAACCAGUAGAGCUGUUCUUUUUUUUUUUUUUUUGGUCAUGCUAUAAUGAAAAGCGAAUUUCACUUUUUGUUUAAAGUUAAAUUAUUCUGAGUGCUAUAAUAUCCACACACUUACUUGGAUUGUCUUAAAAUUUGCUGUACUUUCUUGGAACACAGGGUAUAGGUCUGUUUUGGAGAUGCAGCUGGCUAUCUUCUUAUCUAACUAGUAUAUUUUAAAAGAAUCUGACAGGGUUCCAAGCUCAUUAUGAGUUCUGAACAAAUAGACCCUGAUUUCAAUGGGGCCCUGCACAAUGGACCUCAUGGAGUCAGGGUCUUCCCACAUGACAAGAUCAAAACCUAAAUGACCUCUUCCACUGCUGACUCACACUCCCAGCUUACACUGAGCUUUAUUUUUGCUCAAGUGUCCUGUUUUUCUUGUAGCACAAGCUUGUUGUGGGCACAGCAUGUUGACAUUUUUGCUAAUGUUUGCAUGGAUCACCUUGUACUUCUGGGAUCUCCUACAGACACAGCUUAAUACAAAAUGAUUAUACAGAUGUAUAUAGGAGUAAAUGGAGUGUUGCUCGCUAAUUUGGUUAGCAAAGUGAUUGUAAUAGUAAGUUGGGAGAAAUAAUGUAAACAAAUGGCAGAGAAGGUACCAGCCUGUCCUUCCCUGUUGGAAGGAAUGGGCCUGCUGUUAUAUAGAUUGGCUUAGACGUGGAUUUGGCUUUAGCUUUUCAGCUUUUUCCCUGCAAACCAAGACAGCAGCUGGACCAAGACUGCUUCUUGCAGUCUGUUCCUGGCAAGAAGAGUAUAGCUCAAAUUAUGGAAACAUUAAACUACUGCAAUGCAUUGGACUUGAAACUUGGAACCAGGUAGAAACAUAGGCUGAUACAGAACAGGACUGGAUAGUUAGUCAUUCUUGCUUUAUUCAGAGAAUGCCAUGAUUAUGCAUGUUCUGCACACCUGCUGACUGAUUUUGGGAGAGAUUAUAUCUAUGAAAUCCUGAAUGGGUUGAGAUUAUUUAUUCAUGAGAUCAUCACCUUGAAGUACCUUGUGAUCUUAGUGUAGAGCCACUUUUGGAAACAGAGUCUUGUUGAUUCAAGGAUUGUAGUAAUACAACAAUAAGAAGCCCUCCUCUAAUGCUUGGAGGAGCCCUGCUUGCCUUCCUGUCUGGAAGGUAAAAUGAGAUGUGGCAGUUUAGGGAAAUUUGAUGAGGAAUUGGUGAGAAGAGCUGGGGAAUUCUUGUGACUCUUCUCUUCCUUUCAGGAGGUGGCGCAGGCACCAGGGCUGAUGAAGAAAGCAGAACUGAAACCCAAAACAUUUAAUAGAGUCAAACUCUGGACAGUGGAGCCAGGGGAGUUACCACCUAGCCUUGUCCACUGGGCAGGAAGAUUGAGCUGGGGCUCUACUACCUAUGCCAGCUAUCCUAAGCAGGUGCUGGGUAGGAAGAUCCAGCUAGAGAACCCUGUUGUGAUCAGACAGGGCAGGUUGGAAGCAGCUUGCUGGGAACAAGAGGAGGAAGGGGAAGAAGAGCCAGGCACCAGAUCCUGCUUCUGGAAGAUAACUGGAAGAGCAUCAGUACCAGGGAAAGCUCCAAGCAAGAAUGUGAAAUAUCAGGCUGAAAUGCAGGGAACUAGAACACUUUAGAGCAGCUCGCUAA